Molecule: ribosomal RNA, 465 nt
Filed under: uncultured bacterium
Lineage: Bacteria
Description: partial 16S ribosomal RNA
Rfam family: Bacterial small subunit ribosomal RNA
Source: RNAcentral
CUACGGGGCGCAGCAGUGAGGAAUAUUGCGCAAUGGGGGCAACCCUGACGCAGCGACGCCGCGUGGAUGAUGAAGGCCUUCGGGUCGUAAAAUCCUGUCAGAUGGAAAGAAAUGUCCUAUGCCUAAUAUGUGUAGGAUUUGACGGUACCAUCAAAGGAAGCACCGGCUAACUCCGUGCCAGCAGCCGCGGUAAUACGGAGGGUGCAAGCGUUGUUCGGAAUUACUGGGCGUAAAGCGCGCGUAGGCGGCCUUUUAAGUCAGAUGUGAAAGGCCUCGGCUCAACCGGGGAAGUGCAUUUGAUACUGGGAGGCUUGAGUACUGGAGGGGAUGGUGGAAUUCCCGGUGUAGAGGUGAAAUUCGUAGAUAUCGGGAGGAAUACCGGUGGCGAAGGCGACCAUCUGGCCAGAUACUGACGCUGAGGUGCGAAAGCGUGGGGAGCAAACUGGAUUAGAUACCCUCGUAGUC